This 788-nucleotide long non-coding RNA is filed under the name Struthio camelus australis. RNAcentral's name for it is "lncRNA (ENSSCUG00000007908.1)". The record is from RNAcentral. Lineage: Eukaryota; Metazoa; Chordata; Aves; Struthioniformes; Struthionidae.
AUGUAUGUAUUUAUACAAAAACUACAACUCCCAGCUAUUGAUAGGGGAAAAUAUAGCUGACUGCACUGCAUGGGACAAUCUUGAUACUAUUACAAUUUAACCUGGUAUGUGACUGAUGCUCAAACCUUUUGUGCCUGAAAUACUCUUUCUGUAAUCCAUGUACUGACUCUGUGGGCUCUUCUCCUGACAUCUCCUAGGAGCUGAAUAGGCUCAGGAGAGUUUUCAAAGGCUAAUCCAUCGUCAAUAGCAUGAAAGGAGAAGAGACUCUUUACAAGAAGAACUUUGCUGUGGCUCUUCUAGUGCACGCUCCUUCCAACAGCAUACACAGAAUUUAAACGUCCCAGAACUAUGCUGCUAUAACCGCAGUGAAAUCUUGGCUCCAUUAACGGAUAGCAAACUCAGAUUUUCCAGAUCGCUUUGUGUUCAGCAAUUUCCCAAACCCUUAGUUUCUGGCUGUGUACCUCAUGCUCAUGAGGUAAGAAUAGAAAAACAGGUAUUAUAGCCAUUCAUGAAAGGAAAAAAGCCCAGAAAGAUUUCAUGGACAGUACUUCAUUUCUUUGUUAGAUAAAUUGUGAAAUAGUGUGGCCACAAAGGCAACAUAUUCAGAGUUUCUUUCUGCCUGGAGGCAGAAUGCAAGAGUUACGGAAAGAACUUGAUGUGUAGCAGGUGGCUGGCUGAUCUACGUGUUGCACAUACGUAGUACUCAGAGGCUGUGACAGAGUGUGUAAGGGCCUAGGGUCUCUCAAAAUCUCAUCCUGUACCAACGCUUGGUGUGUUAUUCUUAUUUU